CUGGAACUGAAACACGGUCCAGACUCCUACGGGAGGCAGCAGUGGGGAAUUUUGCGCAAUGGGGGAAACCCUGAUCCAGCCAUGCCGCGUGUCUGAAGAAGGCCUUCGGGUUGUAAAGGACUUUUGUCAGGGAGCAAAUACCGCCUGUGAAUAAUGGGUGGGAAUGAGAGUACCUGAAGAAUAAGCACCGGCUAACUACGUGCCAGCAGCCGCGGUAAUACGUAGGGUGCAAGCGUUAAUCGGAAUUACUGGGCGUAAAGCGUGCGCAGGCGGUUUUGCAAGUCUGAUGUGAAAGCCCCGGGCUUAACCUGGGAACGGCAUUGGAGACUGCAAGGCUAGAGUACGUCAGAGGGGGGUAGAAUUCCACGUGUAGCAGUGAAAUGCGUAGAGAUGUGGAGGAAUACCGAUGGCGAAGGCAGCCCCCUGGGAUGAUACUGACGCUCAUGCACGAAAGCGUGGGGAGCAAACAGGAUUAGAUACCCUGGUAGUCCACGCCCUAAACGAUGUCAAUUAGCUGUUGGGGGUUUGAAUCCUUGGUAGCGAAGCUAACGCGUGAAAUUGACCGCCUGGGGGGUACGGCCGCAAGGUUAA
Molecule: ribosomal RNA, 591 nt
Filed under: uncultured soil bacterium
Lineage: Bacteria
Description: bacterial SSU rRNA
Rfam family: Bacterial small subunit ribosomal RNA
Source: RNAcentral